GUACCCCACUAUGCUCAGCCGUAAACUUUAACUUACAUUAAAAUCGCCCAGGAACUAUAAGCUAUGCUUUAAACCUAAAGGACUUGACGGCACCCCACAUCCCCCUAGAGGAGCCUGUCCUGUAAUCGAUACCCCUCGUUAAACCUCACCCCCCCUAGCUCUUCAGCCUGUAUACCUCCGUCGUCAGCCCACCACGUGAGCGCCACUCAGUGAGCUUCCCUGCUCAAUUCGCAAAAACGUCAGGUCAAGGUGCAGCAAAUGGAGGGGGAAGAGAUGGGCUACAUUCUCUAAUAUAGAGUACACGGAUAACUGCGUAUGAAAUCCAGUUUGAAGGUGGAUUUAGAAGUAAAGAGAAAUCAAAGUGUUCUCUUUAACCCGGCACUGAGGUGCGUACACACCGCCCGUCACUCUCCUCGAAGCAACUAUAAUAGUAUUUAACAACAGACGCAUAAAGAGAGGAGAUAAGUCGUAACU
This 474-nucleotide ribosomal RNA is filed under the name Craugastor silvicola. RNAcentral's name for it is "partial small subunit ribosomal RNA". It matches the Rfam family "Bacterial small subunit ribosomal RNA", at positions 782 to 1493 of the family's 1533-position model. Lineage: Eukaryota; Metazoa; Chordata; Amphibia; Anura; Craugastoridae. The record is from RNAcentral.